RNAcentral lists this long non-coding RNA (719 nucleotides) under Ananas comosus (pineapple). Its description in RNAcentral is "long non-coding RNA (ACOM_LNC005221)". The record is from RNAcentral. Lineage: Eukaryota; Viridiplantae; Streptophyta; Magnoliopsida; Poales; Bromeliaceae.
AUUUUACUGUAAAAUAGAUGGAUAGAAGUACUAUUUUUUAACAGAUUGAUAUUCUGGCAAAAAUUUAGAUAAGCAUGAAUUUGUUUCUAUUUUAGAGAUAAAAAGAAAUUAAAUAAAUUUUGAAUUAAAAUAUAGAUUCACAGUAGAUAUCUUUCGGUUGGCAAAAAUUUGGAUGAGUAUAUUUUUUUCUAUUUUAGAGAUAGAGAGAACUUAAAAGUUUGUUUUAUUACUUUAUUUAUUUUACGUAAGUAAAGAGGAAUCAAAUUUUUUUUUCCGCCAAAAAAGGGGUCUGUCGACAGACUGAAAUUUAAAAUACGUGCUUAUAUAUAUAUAUAUAGAGAGAGAGAGAGAUAGAGAGAGAGAGAGAGAGAGUCCGACUACUAUACUAUCUAUAGUACGGGAGCUCCCGUACUAUAGUGUCGUUUUUGAUCUUCGGGCGUUCAAAUCAACGAUCCACACCGUUAAAACUGAUCUAGGAUAUUUAAAGUUUUUAGAAAUAAAUUUUUAUAUUUUUUCGACGUAGUUUACUUUAUGAUCAAAACAUUUCAAAAUUGUCAAUUUUCAAUGGCUAUUAUGACGAGUUGGGACUUUUAACGGUGUAGAAGAAUCUAAAUUUCUUCAAAUUUUGAUAGAAAAUACUUUAAACUAUAUAGAUUAAGGUUAACAUUCUUGAUCUUGAAUUUAAAAGUCCUAUGCUCAAAUUUUAAAGAGUAUUCAAU